This 1999-nucleotide ribosomal RNA is filed under the name Clostridioides difficile. Its description in RNAcentral is "bacterial LSU rRNA". It matches the Rfam family "Bacterial large subunit ribosomal RNA", at positions 3 to 2025 of the family's 2925-position model. The record is from RNAcentral. Lineage: Bacteria; Bacillati; Bacillota; Clostridia; Peptostreptococcales; Peptostreptococcaceae.
UCAAGUUAUUAAGGGUGCAGGGCGGAUGCCUUGGCACUAGGAGCCGAUGAAGGACGUGAUAAGCUGCGAUAAGCUUCGGGGAGUUGCACGUAAACUUUGAUCCGAAGAUUUCCGAAUGAGGAAACUCACUUAGAGUAAUGUCUAAGUAUCAUUAAGUGAAUACAUAGCUUAAUGAGGGGAACUCAGGGAACUGAAACAUCUAAGUACCUGAAGGAAGAGAAAGAAAUUCGAUUCCGUAAGUAGCGGCGAGCGAACGCGGAUUAGCCCAAACCAAUAAAGUUUUCUUUAUUGGGGUUGCGGACAUAUCAUAACGAAGAGGUAUCGUAAUUGAAGAGGUUUGGAAAGACCCACCACAGAAGGUAAUAGUCCUGUAUGUUAAACGAGAAGACUUUAGAUAUGAUCCAGAGUACCACGGGACACGUGAAACCCUGUGGGAAGCAGGAGGGACCACCCUCCAAGGCUAAAUACUACCUAGUGACCGAUAGCGUAUAGUACCGUGAGGGAAAGGUGAAAAGAACCCCGGGAGGGGAGUGAAAUAGAACCUGAAACCCUGCACUUACAAGCUGUGGAAGCACAUUUCUUGUGUGACCGCGUACUUUUUGUAGAACGGGCCAACGAGUUACGUUAAGUAGCAAGGUUAAGCACUUAAGGUGUGGAGCCGUAGCGAAAGCGAGUUUUAACUGAGCGUUCAGUUACUUGACGUAGACCCGAAACCGGGCGACCUACCCAUGAGCAGGAUGAAGCGAAAGUAAAAUUUCGUGGAGGUCCGAACCCACGAGCGUUGAAAAGCUCGGGGAUGACUUGUGGGUAGCGGUGAAAUUCCAAUCGAGCCCGGAGAUAGCUGGUUCUCCCCGAAAUAGCUUUAGGGCUAGCCUCAAGGUGAGAGAUACGGAGGUAGAGCACUGAAUGUCCUAGGGGGUAUUGCACCUACCGAAGACUAUCAAACUCCGAAUGCCGUCAUCUUAUACUUGGGAGUCAGACUGUGGGUGAUAAGAUUCAUAGUCGAAAGGGCAACAGCCCAGAUCGUCAGCUAAGGUCCCUAAAUGUAAGUUAAGUGGUAAAGGAUGUGGGAUUGCACAGACAACCAGGAUGUUGGCUUAGAAGCAGCCACUCAUUCAAAGAGUGCGUAAUAGCUCACUGGUCGAGUGAUCCUGCGCCGAAGAUUUCCGGGGCUAAAACUUACUACCGAAGCUACGGCAUCAGUAAUGAUGGGUAGGGGAGCUUCCCAUACGGGUUGAAGCAUGACCGUAAGGACAUGUGGACAGUAUGGGAGUGAGAAUGUUGGCAUGAGUAGCGAGAUGUGGGUGAGAAUCCCACAGGCCGUAAACCCAAGGUUUCCAGGGGAAGGUUCGUCCGCCCUGGGUUAGUCGGGACCUAAGCUGAGGCCGAAAGGCGUAGGUGAUGGACAACAGGUUGAUAUUCCUGUACUACCGAUAACCGUUUGAGAGAAGGGAUGACACAGUAGGAUAAGCUAAGCACACUGUUGGUUAUGUGUGCCCAAGCAUUGAGGCAGUCAAAGUAGGCAAAUCCGCUUUGAUAAUGCUGGGAUGUGAUGGGGAGCGAAAUUUAGUAGCGAAGUAGCUGAUUUCACACUGUCAAGAAAAGUCUCUAUCGAGGUUAAAGGUACCCGUACCGCAAACCGACACAGGUGGGUGAGGAGAGUAUCCUAAGGCCAGCGAGAGAACUGUUGUUAAGGAACUCGGCAAAAUGACCCCGUAACUUAGGGAUAAGGGGUGCCACCAUCAGGUGGCCGCAGAGAAUAGGCCCAAGCGACUGUUUACCAAAAACAUAGGUUUCUGCUAAGUCGCAAGACGAUGUAUAGGAGCUGACGCCUGCCCGGUGCUGGAAGGUUAAGGGGAUCUGUUAGAGCAAUCGAAGCAGUGAACUUAAGCCCCAGUAAACGGCGGCCGUAACUAUAACGGUCCUAAGGUAGCGAAAUUCCUUGUCGGGUAAGUUCCGACCCGCACGAAAGGCGUAACGAUUUGGGCACUGUCUCAAC